Ananas comosus (pineapple) is the source of this 730-nucleotide long non-coding RNA. RefSeq lists it as uncharacterized. The transcript is spliced from 3 exons. The record is from RefSeq and is a predicted model, not a curated record. NCBI's taxonomy places the organism in Eukaryota, Viridiplantae, Streptophyta, Magnoliopsida, Poales, Bromeliaceae.
UUAUCUUUAUCCCCUCCCCCUCUCUUUUAUUCCCUGCUGCCAGAAAACAGGGGAGAAGAAAAGAAAAGAGAAAAGAAAGAGAGAAAGAGAGAAGUAGAGAAAGAGAAGAAGAAGAAGAUGAUGAAGAAGAAGUUGAUGAAGAUGAUUUGGAGAUAAGAGUGUCUAGGCGUAUAUGAGAGUCGCGAUUCACGCCUAGCUAGUGGCAAUUGAAGUAAUUUCGGAAAACCGCGAGAAGAGUCGCGCGCAGCUUUUCUUUUAUCGGCGACAACAUAGCAAGUCGAGGUGGGUUCCGAACCGCCGAAAACGGCGAAUUUCACCCUAUGUCUAUUUCGGUACCUCUUCGUCAUGGGCAACGACAACACCGAGUCGUGUUGGGCCAUCUUCAAUUGGGUCUGAUUUACCUUCAUCCCCUUCUGAUACAACAGGUAAGAUAAUCGCAUUUUGUGAGGUGUAUUAUUUUAUUUUGUUUGUCAGCUAUCAAAAAAUAUUAGUGACGGUUUGUUAGCUAUGGAAAAACAUUAUGUUGCUAUUACUCUGUAAUGAUUCUGUGAUAAUUCCAGUGAUCUUUAUAUAAGAAGAGAAGGUGUACCUUUCUAGCUAAAGGGUUCUCUUUUUUUGUUUUUUUUUGGGGAUUCUUUCCACCCUGGCUACCUCUGAUAUGAACUCAGGAAUCUCUCAAACUCGAAAGCUAGUUUAUCAAAGAAUAUAAUAAUUUAGUAGUCAUUGCUUA